AUUGAACGCUGGCGGCAGGCCUAACACAUGCAAGUCGGACGGUAGCACAGAGGAGCUUGCUCUUCGGGUGACGAGUGGCGGACGGGUGAGUAAUGUCUGGGGAUCUGCCCGAUAGAGGGGGAUAACCACUGGAAACGGUGGCUAAUACCGCAUAACGUCGCAAGACCAAAGAGGGGGACCUUCGGGCCUCUCACUAUCGGAUGAACCCAGAUGGGAUUAGCUAGUAGGCGGGGUAACGGCCCACCUAGGCGACGAUCCCUAGCUGGUCUGAGAGGAUGACCAGCCACACUGGAACGGAGACACGGUCCAGACUCCUACGGGAGGCAGCAGUGGGGAAUAUUGCACAAUGGGCGCAAGCCUGAUGCAGCCAUGCCGCGUGUAUGAAGAAGGCCUUCGGGUUGUAAAGUACUUUCAGCGGGGAGGAAGGCGAUGUGGUUAAUAACCGCGUCGAUUGACGUUACCCGCAGAAGAAGCACCGGCUAACUCCGUGCCAGCCGCCGCGAUAA
RNAcentral lists this ribosomal RNA (506 nucleotides) under uncultured bacterium. RNAcentral describes it as "partial 16S ribosomal RNA". It matches the Rfam family "Bacterial small subunit ribosomal RNA", at positions 29 to 523 of the family's 1533-position model. The record is from RNAcentral.